Molecule: ribosomal RNA, 656 nt
Filed under: Salmonella enterica
Lineage: Bacteria; Pseudomonadati; Pseudomonadota; Gammaproteobacteria; Enterobacterales; Enterobacteriaceae
Description: partial 23S ribosomal RNA
Rfam family: Bacterial large subunit ribosomal RNA
Source: RNAcentral
GGGUUGUGAGGUUAAGCGACCAAGCGUACACGGUGGAUGCCCUGGCAGUCAGAGGCGAUGAAGGACGUGCUAAUCUGCGAAAAGCGCCGGUAAGGUGAUAUGAACCGUUAUAACCGGCGAUGUCCGAAUGGGGAAACCCAGUGUGACUCGUCACACUAUCAUUAACUGAAUCCAUAGGUUAAUGAGGCGAACCGGGGGAACUGAAACAUCUAAGUACCCCGAGGAAAAGAAAUCAACCGAGAUUCCCCCAGUAGCGGCGAGCGAACGGGGAGCAGCCCAGAGCCUGAAUCAGCAUGUGUGUUAGUGGAAGCGUCUGGAAAGGCGCGCGAUACAGGGUGACAGCCCCGUACACAAAAGCGCAUAUGCUGUGAGCUCGAUGAGUAGGGCGGGACACGUGGUAUCCUGUCUGAAUAUGGGGGGACCAUCCUCCAAGGCUAAAUACUCCUGACUGACCGAUAGUGAACCAGUACCGUGAGGGAAAGGCGAAAAGAACCCCGGCGAGGGGAGUGAAAAAGAACCUGAAACCGUGUACGUACAAGCAGUGGGAGCACAGGUUUACCUGUGUGACUGCGUACCUUUUGUAUAAUGGGUCAGCGACUUAUAUUCUGUAGCAAGGUUAACCGUAUAGGGGAGCCGCAGGGAAACCGAGUCUUAAC